This is a long non-coding RNA of Prunus persica (peach), 507 nucleotides long. RefSeq lists it as uncharacterized. The record is from RefSeq and is a predicted model, not a curated record. The transcript is spliced from 2 exons. NCBI's taxonomy places the organism in Eukaryota, Viridiplantae, Streptophyta, Magnoliopsida, Rosales, Rosaceae.
CCGGUACGCCGAUCACAUGCUAGUCACGUGGGCUUUUUUUUAAAACAAUUGAAACUGGUUGUUUUGGUUAACCAGUUAAAAUGAGGAAAAAAAAUCAUGCUCCUUCAAAACCUAGGAUGCGUACUCGAUUUCGUCUAUCUCCUCCUCCAUAGCUUUGCACAGCCACAGCUCUAUUUCGUCGAAGUCACAGCUGCACAGCUUUCUACAGCCUGAAGAAGCUCCCCCCACUUCGUCUUCUCCAUCUGAGGAGCAGAUUUCAGCCAAAACCCAGAAACCCACUUCGUCUUCUCCAGCUGCUUCCUCCAUCUCGUUAUGGAAGCUCAAAAAAGGGGAUCAACAAAAGGAAAGCGCAAAGUCGACAGUAAUGUGCAACAAUCAAGAGUUGGCCGAGAUGCAUUUUUUAAUUUCAUGUAAGUUACACGUACAUCUAAAAAUCGGAAAUGUAGUUGCUUAAUAUUAUGAUGGUUUUUUGAUUAAAAAUAAAUGAUUUACAAAAAAAAAAAAAAA